UUCGAUCCCUGGCUCAGAUUGAACGCUGGCAGGAUGCUUUACACAUGCAAGUCGAACGGCAGCACGGACUUCGGUCUGGUGGCGAGUGGCGAACGGGUGAGUAAUGUAUCGGAACGUGCCUAGUAGCGGGGGAUAACUACGCGAAAGCGUAGCUAAUACCACUAUACGCCCUUCGAAGCGGGGGACCUUCAGACUCACUAUUAAAGCGGCCGAUAUCAGUUAGCUGAAUUGGUGGGGUAACGGCUCACCAAGGCGUCCGUAGCUGGUUUGGACGACCAGCCACACUAGGACUGAGACACGGCCCCAGACUCCUACAGGGAGGCAGCAGUGGGAAUUUUGGACAAUGGGAAACCCUGAUCCAGCCAUCCCGCGUGUGCGAUGAAGGCCUUCGGGUUGUAAAGCACUUUUGGCAGGAAAAGAAACGGCACGGGAUAUUACCCCCGUGCAACUGACAGUACACCAGAAUAAGCACCGGCUAACUACGUGCCAGCAGCCGCGGUAAUACGUAGGGUGCAAGCGUUAAUCAGAUUACUGGGCGUGGCAUUGCGCGAGCGGUUCCGGAAGAAGAUGUGAAAUCCCAGAGCUUAACUUUGGAACUGCAUUUUUAACUACCGAGCUAGAGUGUGUCAGAGGGAGGUGGAAUUCCGCGUGUAGCAGUGAAAUGCGUAGAUAUGCGGAGGAACACCGAUGGCGAAGGCAGCCUCCUGGGAUAACACUGACGCUCAUGCACAGGCGUGGGGAGCAAACAGGAUUAAGCCUGGUAGUCCACGCCCUAAACGAUGUCAACUAGCUGUUGGGGCCUUCGGGCCUUGGUAGCGCAACUAACGCGUGAGAUUGACCGCCUGGGAGUACGGUCGCAAGAUUAAAACUCAAAGGAAUUGACGGGGACCCGCACAAGCGGUGGAUGAUGUGGAUUAAUUCGAUGCAACGCGAAAAACCUUACCUCCUUGACAUGUCUGGAAUCCCGAAGAGAUUUGGGAGUGCUCGCAAGAGAACCGGAACACAGGUGCUGCAUGGCUGUCGUCAGCUCGUGUCGUGAGAUGUUGGGUUAAGUCCCGCAACGAGCGCAACCCUUGUCAUUGUUGCUACGGCACUCUAAUGAGACUGCCGGUGACAAACCGGAGGAAGGUGGGGAUGACGUCAGAAUCCUCAUGGCCCUUAUGGGUAGGGCUUCACACGUCAUACAAUGGUCGGGACAGAGGGUCGCCAACCCGCGAGGAGGUAAUCCCAGAAACCCGAUCGUCGGAUCGCAGUCUGCAACUCGACUGCGUGAAGUCGGAAUCGCUAGUAAUCAUGAAUCAGCAUGUCGCGGUGAAUACGUUCCCGGUCUUGUACACACCGCCCGUCACACCAUGGGAGUGGGUUUUACCAGAAGUAGUUAGCCUAACCGUAAGGAGGGCGAUUACCACGGUAGGAUUCAUGACUGGGGUGAAGUCGUAACAAGGUAG
This 1448-nucleotide ribosomal RNA is filed under the name uncultured Bordetella sp. Its description in RNAcentral is "partial 16S-23S ribosomal RNA intergenic spacer". It matches the Rfam family "Bacterial small subunit ribosomal RNA". The record is from RNAcentral. Lineage: Bacteria; Pseudomonadati; Pseudomonadota; Betaproteobacteria; Burkholderiales; Alcaligenaceae.